RNAcentral lists this unclassified non-coding RNA (5140 nucleotides) under Leishmania donovani. RNAcentral's name for it is "gene:LdHU3.35.1800(CDS-product:hypothetical_prote in_conserved)". Lineage: Eukaryota; Euglenozoa; Kinetoplastea; Trypanosomatida; Trypanosomatidae. The record is from RNAcentral.
AGAUGCCGAUGGCCACACCCACGCCCACACGACCAUUUCCGCAAACGACCAUCCGUGUAUUAUCAUCGACUCGAAAAGGUGCUUCUUUCUCUGUUUGUUGGGUUCGCUGUCCUGCUCUAUCUUCUUGAUCCUUCACAGGGCUCACCUUCAACUCUCGCUCUUUCACGCUCUAGGCCUGUGGCUCGUCCAUCUUUGCUCCCCUUUUCUUUUUUUUCUUGUUCCCCCUUCCCCUAUUCUCCUUUCCCACGUUGGCAGGUGUUUCACACCGCUCGACUUGUUUUCGAACUGCUGAAGAAGUCAAAGAGCAGAUCAACCAGAGCGACAGAUCUUUUUCUUUUCGGUCUUUCAGUUGUGUGGAAGUCCGGGGUGCUUCCCAGACUAACUUGCCGUCUUUUCUGUCGCCAUUUACUUGUGAGCAGCGCCGUCUCUCCUCUCUACGUCUUCGCAUCUGUCUCACCGGCGCUUGUGGGGAGACACGCACGUGCAGACGCACACACACGCACACACACAUACGCGUAUAUAUGCAGGUCUAGAAACGAUUCACUCAUACACUUGGCCCCUUUACCAUCUCGAUACACCCACGCACAAAUCGUUCGCAAAGCAACCCCAGGCACAGCGGCAGUGAGACGCAACUUCUCAAUUGUAAGCGUUGAAGUUUCCUUCAACGUGGAGCACAUACGCACGUGCCUACACAAGCACAGUUAUACACAUACCUGCACCUGCGCAGAGCAGUGGCAGAAGGUAAUAAUAAUAACGAGUAGUAAGUGCUUUUCAUCUUUUUUGCUUUCUCACUCUUCGGCCGCCCCUGUUUCACUUUUCGCGGGACUUCUAUCGUUUUCUCGCUCUCUCGGCCUGCCUGUCUGUCCUUCUCUUGUCCGCCUUUCGACCCACCUUUUUUUUUCCAUAGCCCCCCUCCCCCCCUGCUACCCUCGGUCGAAGGCCAGCCGGGCCUUGAGCACGGCACCUUUGUUAUUAGGCUGCUUUCUCGUAUUGUUCGGGGGCUUCCCAUCUCUUGUGCUGCCUUUUCUUCGUCGGGCUCCUCCUUUCGUUUUGAGUUUUACGACCCCCCUCCCGCCGCUGUUUCGCCCGUUCUGCUCUCCGUGCGGCGGGCGUGGCUUCCUUUUUGAACAUCUGUGUGCGUGUGUGUGUGGUUCCUUUUUUCCCUCUCAGCUCGUCUCUCUUUGCUGCCAAAGCUGCUGCCGCUGCAACCAUCUUCACCGUUUUCCCUCCCUAGCUCCGUUACCGACGCGACGCUUCACAGCGCGGACUUCCUCAACAUCGCGCUUGUGAGACCGAUGGAGAGCGGACAUGCCGACGCGGGCGCGUCAGGCCGGCGCCACCACAGGUUAGGUACGCUUCGAAGGCUGUUCCACAAGAGCCCGUCCAGUCGCAGCAUGACGUCGCAAAGCGAUGCGACGUCUCCACUUUCGGUAGGCCGUAGGGGCAGCAGCCUCGGCGCUGCACAGAAUCCGGAGGGGUUGGAGGACCACAUGCAGAACAGCAUCUAUGCCGGGACAGACACCUGCAUGGACUGCGGCUUCACCCGCGGCAGCAGCGUGUGCUGCCCGGUCACCCGUCGUCACCACGGCACCGAUGAGCUUAUCGCGUCUGGCAGACAUCGCAUCAGUCACAGUCGCUUCUCCUCCGCCUCCAAGGGCAUCUUUACAAAGGUAUGGGGCAAACACCCUAUACCGCAUGCUCGGCAACCUGCCCAUCUCACACGAGUGAACCAUGGGGGUAUUACGCCGACCGCCGAAGCGCUGCAUCCCUUGGCCCUGGGCGCAGAAGAUGCCACCGCCGAGGGCACAAACGGGGAUUCACGUGAGGCGGACACGCCACGCAUCGGCGGUGCGGGUGACCUUGUGAGUUUGAAGAGCGGCAUAGAGGACCGCGAAAACGGCGACUCUGCGCAUCAGCACAACGGAAUCGACGCGCGCGAGGACAGCGGCGGAGUAGAUGAGGCUGUCGGCCAGGGGGGCGGCGAGGUGCAGUACUACUGCUACACGGACGAGAAAGGCGACACGUACUGGUACGUGCAGGAGCUGCAGGACUCGAUGCAACCGCAGCAACCCGCCGCCGACGCGGAGGCGGCGCACACGAGUUCACAGGCGACCACGUACUACUAUGAGUCUCAGACAGGGCAGUAUUGGAUAGGCGGCUCAGUGCCAGAGGGAUCUUACGUGUGCGAGUACGUGGACGAGAACGGUCAGACGGUGUACUACCUCUACACGCCAGAGAUGGAUGGCGCCCAAGACAACACCGCAGCCACUCCUCAGCUGACGCAGGACACCAACAAUGACGGCACGACCUCUACGCCGGCCAUCGCGGCUACGGGGUCGCACGUCGCCUCUAAGGAAGCGGUCAACGCCGCUGCGCCGUCUAAGCGAAAGACUCCAGGGGCGUUCUUUGCGGCCAUCAAGGGCGUUUUCAAGCCCCACCGCAGCCGCCACACCCGCUACGUAAAUGACGACCUCGUUGCCCAUGAUGGUGACGACGCGGAUCCCUCCUUUUUCGUGACAGACUCAGAUGUGGAGCCACCAGCCCCGCUGGGGACGGUGAUCAGUGAGACUCUCAUGACCCCCCGCAAUAGUGAGGUGAACCUUUCUGACAAUGACGAGGAGGAGUUCCUGGAGAUCCUCGACGCGGCAGAGAGAAAACGAUUGAGGAAUGAGUGCAAGCGCCGCAUUAAGGAGCUCGCCGCGAGCGAGAAGAAGGAACGGGAGAUCAUCAUGAAGGAGCGACGCGAUGACAUGGCGACGCUAGGACGGGAAAAACGUGCGGAGGCAUUUGUGCUCCGCAAUUUCGAGAGUCUCAUCACGAAAAGGCCGAAGCGCGUGUAGCCUAUUUAGGGAACAUUUUCUUGUCAACGUGUUCAUGCCACCACGAGCACGCCCACAAACGUACACACGCAUACACAACCACAGCGCACAUACCUCUGCUGUACCACGGCUACAUUCUGGCCCUCUAGGACGAAACCAUCUGCCGCUGAAUCGGGUCACGCGCCUAGCGGGCACUUCAUGACCUUCAUCGUUCUCUCCUCGGUUACGUGCUGUGCGAUGGGCGCGAGAUGGACCUGGUUGCAUCACACGCUCUGAUCCAGGCGGGACGUGCUCAGGGUCCUGCUCGAGGGCAGAAAGCGGUGGUGCCUGGCGUGCAUGUAACAGGGUGUUGUCCAGGCGCAUGCCGGAUGGGCUCAAGGAAACAGUUGGCCAGCCGCAGGCCAGGGCCCACUGAGACCCCCUUGCACACUCUGCCCGCAUGCCGUGCUUCGCCCUUUCAGUGGCUUCAAGCCGUGGCAUCCCAUAAUCUGCUCCGGAGGCCCGUCACAUUCGGGUCUGGAGGACUCGAUGGUGCCAGUCUGGGGUGUUCUCGUCACGCCUCCGGCAUCUGUGCCGCAUCAGCCUACCCGGUCGGAUGUAGGGCGUAUGCCGCAUGCUUCGCGCACAUGCACUUUGGGGUUGAUCGGCGCGGAUCUCCUCGCGCCGUUUCCGUGCAUCGCUCGUACUCCGCUGACCUCUGGAUGCUUUGCUUGGAUGCGAAACACCAUGCUGGCUGUGCAUGGCAGCGCGUGCGCACAAUGAUCACACUAGUGGAUCUUGGGGCCUGCUACGGGGGCGGCGUUGCUGCCUCGGGGGGCGUGGUUGGACGGCCUGCGCGCAUGUGCCGUGACAGGUGGGACGCGCCGCCGUUAGUCUGUGGCAGCGGGAGCACCUCGCCUUCUCCGGAGCCCGCACGCCUUUGACGGGAGUGGGUGUUUCAAUAUUUGUCGAAUAAUCAAAACGAUGCGUAGUGAGCGGGCACAGACGUGAUCGUGGCCGCGAGUCUCUUCAGCACGGUGCCGGCUCAGACCUGUGUGCCGACACCAAGAGUCCGCCAGCGGCGCCGUGGACCAGGCUGCAGGCUCCUGACUUCCCCACAAAGAGUGGGCACUCGACCCUGAGAUGCCACGCACUGAGGCUGCCGGCAUCAUGUGGGCUAUUUAGAGAUUGAGCACGGAAAAAAAAGUGCGCACGCAGUUUUCUGCGUAAGCAUCGUUGGUGAAGUGUGUGAUAGUGGUACAUAGGAUACUGUGACUGAGGGAGGUAAUCUUGUCUGUGUGGGCCAGAUUUGAAGAUGACCCUGGGGAAGGCGGAGAGGUGGGGGAGGGGAGUAUGAGUACACGCGUGCGUAUAACACGCGUGCACUCCUCGGACUCCUUUUCUCCGCGGAUCUGCGUGGCGUGUCCGCACUGUUGUUGCGUCACUCUUUUUUGCUGGCGAAGAGAAGAAACCGACAGCAACUUGCAAACGCAUUUGCGAACAUAGUUCAAUAUACCAAUGCCGUACAGCUGCUCUUAGUUUGUCCCCCAUCACCCCCGAUAAUGAGACGCGAGCCUUAGUUCUUGUCCACUGCCUUCUCUCCUUUUGUUCCCUCCGUGAAAGCUGCAUGUGUGUGCAUGGAUGUUUGCGUUGUGAAUCUGCUCUUUUCCCAUCUUCUCUGUUUGUCUAGCGUCCUCUCGUCCUCCUGCCUCUCUUAGUGGCUGCCGUGUAACCUUUUCGUGUGCAGGAGUCGGUGAUGUGGAUGGUGUGUGUGUGUGCUUUUUUUUUGCUGUUGCAUGUCGUUUCACUUCGUCACUCUUCUUGCUCCAACCCUCUUUUUGACUCCUCACGGUCUUGCCUCCUCUUCCUCCUCCUUUCCCUGCUUGCCUGUCUCCUUGAACCCCCCGCUCGUUAGUGCUGUGCCCUUUUUUUUCCCUCCCAAGGCGCAUUUCCCCUCUUCCCUCCGUGAUUCGUCGAUGUCCGCGCGCGUCUCUGAUGUUGAAUAGACGAAGGGUACACGACAGACUUCAUGACACUUUAUCGAUUUCCUUUUCGUUAAAGCCAAGUGCAUGUUGCCCCUUCUUCCGCCUUCGUGCGCGUCUUUUUUUCUCCAUGGUGCCCUUCCGCAUUUACUACUUUUCUCACCCCCGUUGUACUUUACUUUCAUCGGUGUCGUUUGCGUGUGCACUCUCUUCGCCUGCUAACCACUCUUUCCUGUGUGCGUGCGUGUGGUUCUCUCUCCUUCGUUUGCCUUUGAGUUACUCAGCGUUGCUCUCGUUGCGUGAUCUCGCUUUCUCACAGCUGUUCUCUCUUGUUGGCUCGACUCCACACGGUGACACAUG